This 1235-nucleotide long non-coding RNA is filed under the name Homo sapiens (human). Its description in RNAcentral is "long intergenic non-protein coding RNA 841". Lineage: Eukaryota; Metazoa; Chordata; Mammalia; Primates; Hominidae. The record is from RNAcentral.
AGGGUGGCAUAGACGGCGAGCCCAGGGAGGCCACUGACAUGCAUUCAAGAGAAAAGAAAAGAAGCCAGGCUUUGGCAUAAGUGCUUCAUGGUGGAGUGAGAAUGGCUUGCCCUGGAAGGGUCAUGUUUUAGAAGGAGUGAUCUUCAUUGUGAAGUCUAAACUGUUCUGGAAAUAUAAGCUUUGAAACCCAGAAGACACUAAAGUAAAAGAACCAUCAACACAAGUGACAUGUCAUAGCAGGAGCUGACACAGCCUCACCAGCCCAUGCUCGGCCAGACUAGGGAGCAUCGGCCGCUUGUUCCAUCCUGUGCUUGUCUGCCUGCCUCUCUGUCAUGAGACGCAUUCGAAGAGUCCUGGGCCCAAAAGCAACUCACAGUCCAGGAAGACGUCCAGGCCUUGGGUGACGCUCAGUCUCAUUUAGGAGAAAAAUCCUAUUAAUCAUCCAAGGUUCAACCAAGAAGAGAGGUCACUCUAAGUAUUUAUAACAGAGGACUCUCAUUGCCCAGGUUAUAGGAAGACUUUGAGGCCAGAGCACAGUGACAUUGGAGGGAGCCGCAACCCUCCCUGGGUUGAAGGAACUAAGGAGAAUGUGGCAGAAUUGGCCGGAAGCAGAAUUGCCUGUUUCCAGUGAGGCCCCCUUGCCCUCUUGGAAGCAAUUGCUGUGUAGGAAGUCUGAACACCUCACAGGAGAUGGAGGCCAGUUCCUGCCUGCUGUAGCCACCCAGCUGAAGGGGGUCCAGACACGAGUGGAGGCAUUGUGACCUCCAGCCUCAGCAGACACCUCCACACUGCGCAGGGCAGAGCAACCACGCCACCGAGUGAGCCCCAUUUGCAGACUUUGAGCAAAUAAUGAUUGUGCACGUUGGAUCAUUUAUUGAGUUUCUCUCGUACACCAAGCACUGGUUGGAUCCCAUGCUUGUUGGUGACAGAACUGCUGUGAUGCCAGUCCUGCGUCCCCUUCAGCCUGUGAAGGAGGAGCACCAUGAACCAGCCAACUAACACGUGUCUAAUCACAUAAAGGGAACUGAACACCAGAGAGCCACAGUCACUUUCCGAAGGUCACACAGCAAGUGCAAAUGAGGCCUCAUCCUCAGGGCUGGGUUCCAGGCCUGCUGGGCAGGUCGGUUACUGCUGCACAAAAUUUCUGUUAUCCUAAAAUUGUUUCAGACAAGCACCAAAGGACGUCCCAUAGUUCUGCUUGACUAAGGUUUAAUGAAGUUAAUGUUCAUACUUUC